Molecule: transfer RNA, 74 nt
Filed under: Solirubrobacterales bacterium 67-14
Lineage: Bacteria; Bacillati; Actinomycetota; Thermoleophilia; Solirubrobacterales
Description: tRNA-Gln
Rfam family: tRNA
About the family: Transfer RNA (tRNA) molecules are approximately 80 nucleotides in length.
Source: RNAcentral
UGCGGGGUAGAAUAAUGGUAAUUCGUGCGGUUCUGGUCCGUGAAAUCGGGGUUCGAGUCCCUGCCCCGCAGCCU